Molecule: ribosomal RNA, 253 nt
Filed under: uncultured bacterium
Lineage: Bacteria
Description: partial 16S ribosomal RNA
Rfam family: Bacterial small subunit ribosomal RNA
Source: RNAcentral
UACGGGGGGGGCAAGCGUUGUUCGGAAUUACUGGGCGUAAAGGGUUCGUAGGUGGCUCGCUAAGUCAGACGUGAAAUCCCUCGGCUUAACUGGGGAACUGCGUCUGAGACUGGCAAGCUUGAGUGCAGGAGAGGAACGCGGAAUUCCAGGUGUAGCGGUGAAAUGCGUAGAUAUCUGGAGGAACACCGGUGGCGAAGGCGGGUCUCUGGGCAGUAACUGACGCUGAGGAGCGAAAGCGUGGGGAGCGAACAGG